UACGUAGGGGGCGAGCGUUGUCCGGAUUCAUUGGGCGUAAAGAGCUCGUAGGCGGUUCGGUUAGUCAGAUGUGAAAACUCCGGGCUCAACUCGGAGAGGCCAUCUGAUACUGCCGUGACUGGAGUUCGGUAGAGGAGUGUGGAAUUCCCGGUGUAGCGGUGAAAUGCGCAGAUAUCAGGAGGAACACCGGUGGCGAAGGCGGGUCUCUGGGCCGAUACUGACGCUGAGGAGCGAAAGCGUGGGGAGCGAACAGG
RNAcentral lists this ribosomal RNA (254 nucleotides) under uncultured bacterium. Its description in RNAcentral is "partial 16S ribosomal RNA". It matches the Rfam family "Bacterial small subunit ribosomal RNA", at positions 524 to 776 of the family's 1533-position model. The record is from RNAcentral.